UCUAAGUAGGAAAAAGAAAAGGAGCUUUCCAGAAUCACACGAGAAAGGAGGGCAAGCGAGGGCUUUGUCCAAAAGAGUGGCAGAAUUUGCAACGUCUGCAACAGUCUACGAGCUUCAUCGGGCCUCCGCAACGGCUAAAAAAGCAAGCAGGAUCCAGAGGUGCGUUAAGAUGCUCAUUUCCUAGAGAGCUCGGCGGCAUGGUUCUGCUUCGCCUUCGUCUCAGUCUUCGUUUGGAGCUACAACAGUAACCAGAUACAACGAGUAAUUGAAUCAAUAAACUGUGGCUAACGGUUGGUCCUUCCAUCAUGGAUAAGAUAUCACCUGACUGUCCUUACCCAGGAUGCUUCUUCUGUGUCAUGAAGGAGGGAAAUCCAAAUAAAAGAAGAACAAGUAUACUGAAGUUCUUUAGAGAGCUUCCUUCUCAAGAUGAUGAUGGCCAGGUUCUCCCUAUCAGUGGCCUUUGGAACACUGCCAUGGCGCAUCCAAAUGAUCCUGAAUUUGUUAACUUGGGAAUAUUUGAAUGCAUGGGUGCAUUGAUAUGGAAGGGCUUAAAGAACAGGCGUUGGCUUACACAUGACCAGAACAUAUACAUCCCCUAUUAUGCAGCUCAUAUAAUUGGAUCUUACACCAUGAAUAUGGAAGAGUUUGCAGAAACUGCGGUGCAUGCUGGAGUUAUUCCUCCCUUAGUUGAACUUUUACGAGGUAGGCUGACCUGGGUGGAACAAAGGGUAGCAGUUAGGGCCCUGGGACACUUGGCUACAUAUCCUAGUACAUUUCCUGCGGUGGCAAGUCAUGGAGAAGUCCUUGAGCUUGCCAUUCAGCUGGCGUCAAGUUCUCUAGAGAUUGUCUACUCUCACUUUUACCAGUUCAUGGAUAGGAGACUAAGCUAUCACUGCGAUCUACUUACACGGGGGAUGGGUGGUGUGGAAAUGGAGUCCAGGAAAGCAGAGGAAUGGGCCAGUCAGUUACAGUGCUGGUCUCUUCAGCUAAUUAAUUGCUUCGCUUUCAAGCCUGAGUUUCUCCCUGAUAUAUGCAAGCCAGAAUUUUUAAUGAAAUUACCAGGCAUGUGGGGUGGGCUUGUCAAUGAGAACUCGCCAGCUGGUAUUGGUUUACUGCGAACAAUUUGCCAACACAAGCUUGGGAGGAGUUCUGUUGCUAACUGUCCUGGUAUCAUCGAUGCACUAUGUAAUAUUGCUUGUUCAUCAGAUGACUGGCAGUACAUGGCUAUUGAUUGUCUUGUUUGGUUACUUCAAGAUCCAAGUACUUGCCAUAAGGUGAUAGAUAAGGCAGCCCCAGCACUUAUAGAUUUAGCAGAAAUUUCAACUCUUGGUGAUCAUAAAAGACUUGGGGACAAUAUUGUUAGCGUCCUUCAAGAAUGUAUACAGUCACAUGGGACAGCACGCAAUUUUAUCAGCAGCCAUACGAAAGAACAAAUUGACGAGCUUUUGAGUUCCAGGCAGAGAUUAACAUGGGAGAAGAAUAUGCCAAAGGAGGAUCUGCAUAUAAAGCAGGCAGCAGCACUGGUUGUUAAGCUGGAAGGAAAUUCUUUAUUUUCUUCAGGAAAUAUUGCAGGAGCUGCAUCAAAGUACUCUGAAGCGCUGGCAUUGUGUCCCAUGAAGUCAAAAAAAGAGAGAGUUGUGUUGUACAGCAACAGGGCUCAGUGUUAUCUUCUCUUGCAGCAGCCAUUGGCAGCCAUUAGCGAUGCUACACGUGCAUUGUGCCUUCAUAACCCUCCUAAUCGUCAUGCCAAAAGCCUGUGGAGAAGAGCCCAAGCAUAUGAUAUGCUUGCUUUAGCUAAGGAGAGCUUGUUAGAUGCCAUUCUUUUCAUUAAUGAGUGUUCUCAGUCAAAUGAUCCCGACCUUUCUUUGAGACAAAACAAAGUUCCUGAUUAUGCUGAAAGGUUAGUCAAGAAGCAGAUGCGUGCUGCAUGGCUAUUCAGAGAAGCAGCUAUAAAGCAUGGGGGAGUUCAUUGUGAGGGUGAUACUGGAGAUGUAUUUGGCCAAGAGGCUGAUGACUCUGAGUGGGAGACAGCUAGCGAAAGUGAUAUUGGAGAUGAUGGAAGAGGAGAAGCAGAUGAUGAUGAGAGUGAAUGGAAAAAUGCUGACUACCGGAAAGAUAUAUAUAACAAGGCUGCUACAAAAGCAACUAAAGCUUCAGCAAAAUUUCUACCAUCAACCUAGACUACGUUCAUUUUUUUAUCCUGCAAACUGGAAAACAGCCCAGUGGUUGCAUUCCUCUCCUUGGAGGUGGUUCUAAGUUCGACUCCUGAAUGGUGCAUUCCAAAGCAUUUGAACCUAGAUACGAGUCAUGGAUAUAAUGUGCUGCUUGUGGAAGAUGAUACAUGAUUUCCCAAGUGAUUAACACGUCACAGACUAUGUUAAUCGUCAUCAGAGAGCUUCUUUGAACCUCAAGUGUGAAGGGCGUUGUUGCUCGGUUCCUUGAAGUGUAAGUACUACUGAGGUAUUCAGAUCCCUUAUUUAAAGUUGAACUGAAUAAGAACUCUUUCCCUAUUCAUUAUCGCUGUUGUUUCUCCUUAGAAAUAUGAAAGCUUUCAAGGUGUUUUUGGUGAUGUUAUGGGUUGAUAAGGAGAUCGUUUGCUUUGGAAUGGUUGGCAGAGUUGGACUUGUAUUUCAUUGGAUUACUGCUCUUUGGUAAAUGUAUGCCUUACAAAUGAGUACUACGAAAUGGUAAUCCUUUUACUCUCUUCACUGUUCUUUACGUCAGAUAUUGCCUUUUAUCACUGUUCAAAUGAACCAGAAUCUAGAAUAUUAGAAUAUGUCUCACAUAUAUUUGUU
Molecule: RNA transcript, 2795 nt
Organism: Phoenix dactylifera (date palm)
Lineage: Eukaryota; Viridiplantae; Streptophyta; Magnoliopsida; Arecales; Arecaceae
Source: RefSeq, a predicted model, not a curated record